CACAGGGACAGGAACCCCAUGUGAAGGAGGGUAAAGCAGCCCCCUGUGCGCUGAGCGAGUGCUGAAGGAUGUGAGGACCACUGUGUCAGGAAUCUCAGCAGUAGGAGUGCAGGAAGACUUCCAGCACCCACGCUUGCUUUGAGAUCCGACACAGUGAGAACUCCACCCACUGCCUCGCUCACAGUAGGACUCCUGGUUUGAGAUGAUUGAGGGGAGUCUGAGGAGUUAUGAACAAAUGCACAGUUCAAUCUCUAGAACUCUGCUGCCUCACAUACAGUAGGACUCCUGUUUCUUUGGUCAUUCAGUUGGAGUCCGAGGAGCUGAGGAGAAAUACAGAGACUGGAGAGCUCUGCAGCUCCUAUCGGCUCAUCAGUCUGGUCAGCCACCUUGGAAGCCAGGUGUCAACUGCAAUGGCAUGGGGGCAGGAACCACAUGUGGAGGAGGGGAAAGCAGCCCCCUGUGCGCUGAGCGAGUGCUGAAGGAUGUGAGGACCGCUGUGUCAGGAAUCUCAGCAGUAGGAGUGCAGGAAGACUUCCAGCACCCACGCUUGCUUUGAGAUCCGACACAGUGAGAACUCCACCCACUGCCUCGCGCACAGUAGGACUCCUGGUUUGAGACAAUUCAGGGGAGUCCGAGGAGUUAUGAAGAAAUGCACAAAACUCUGCUGCCUCUCACACAGUAGGACUCCUGUUUUUUUUUUUGGUCAUUCAGUUGGAGUCUAAGGAACUGAAGAGAAAUGCAGAGCUGUCUGGACAAAGUUGAUCAAACCAGAGGGGCAAUAGUUUUCUGAUGAGAUCCCUGGGGUUCUUUGGACAACAGCCAGGCUAACAUCGAUUCAAG
Molecule: long non-coding RNA, 840 nt
Organism: Acipenser ruthenus (sterlet)
Lineage: Eukaryota; Metazoa; Chordata; Actinopteri; Acipenseriformes; Acipenseridae
Exons: 8
Source: RefSeq, a predicted model, not a curated record